This 302-nucleotide ribosomal RNA is filed under the name uncultured bacterium. Its description in RNAcentral is "bacterial SSU rRNA". It matches the Rfam family "Bacterial small subunit ribosomal RNA", at positions 28 to 333 of the family's 1533-position model. The record is from RNAcentral.
GAUAAACGCUGGCGGCGUGCCUAACACAUGCAAGUCGAACGUCCUCUCUCGCAAGAGAGAGGGAGUGGCGGACGGGUGAGUAACACAUGGGUCACCUACCCUUAAGUGAGGAAUACCGGCGAGAAAUCGCCGACAAGACCGCAUAGGCUCUCUCUUUUGCAAGAGAGAGCAAAGCUUCGCAAGAGGCGCUUGAGGAUGGGCCUGUGGCCGAUUAGCUGGUGGUAGGGUAAUGGCUUACCAAGGCGACGAUCGGUAGCUGGUCUGAGAGGACGAUCAGCCACACUGGGAUUGAGAACGGCCCA